GGAAGGAUCAUUACCGAGUUAGGGUCUUCUCGGCCCGACCUCCCAACCCUGUGUUUACUGAACCUUUGUUGCUUCGGCGGACCCGUCUCACGACCGCCGGGGGACCGUAAGACGUUCUCUGGUCCGCGUCCGCCGGUGGCCAAAUUUACUAAACUCUGAUUAAAAUGGGCCGUGUCUGAGUACGUUUCUUAAUUAAAGCAAAACUUUCAACAACGGAUCUCUUGGUUCUGGCAUCGAUGAAGAACGCAGCGAAAUGCGAUAAGUAAUGCGAAUUGCAGAAUUCAGUGAGUCAUCGAAUCUUUGAACGCAUAUUGCGCCCUUUGGUAUUCCGAAGGGCAUGCCUGUUCGAGCGUCAUUAUCACCCCUCAAGCCUCUCCGGCUUGGUGUUGGACGGUUCGGUUUUGGUGACAAGGCCCCUCCUAAAAUUAAUGACGGCGGCCUGUCUGACCCCCGGUACACUGAGCUUCUUAACUGAGCACGUAUCGGCUAGAGGGUAGGCAGGUCCCGGUCUCCUUCCUUAACCGGAAACUAUUUCUUAAGGUUGACCUCGGAUCAGGUAGGGAUACCCGCUGAACUUAAGCAUAUCAAUAAGCGGAGGAAAAGAAACCAACAGGGAUUGCCUCAGUAACGGCGAGUGAAGCGGCAACAGCUCAAAUUUGAAAUCUGGCCUCAUUGGGGUCCGAGUUGUAAUUUGUAGAGGAUGUUUUGGGUACCGCGCCGGUUUAAAUUUCUUGGAACAGAAUGUCAGAGAGGGUGAGAAUCCCGUCUUGGAUCGGCGUAGGGCCCGUGUAAAACUCCUUCGACGAGUCGAGUUGUUUGGGAAUGCAGCUCAAAAUGGGUGGUAAAUUUCAUCUAAAGCUAAAUAUUGGCCAGAGACCGAUAGCGCACAAGUAGAGUGAUCGAAAGAUGAAAAGCACUUUGAAAAGAGAGUUAAACAGUAUGUGAAAUUGUUGAAAGGGAAGCGCUUACAACCAGACUUGCGCGCGGCGGUUCCCCCAUCCUUCUGGUUGGGCUAUUCCGCCGUGUCCAGGCCAACAUCGGUUCUGGGGGUCGGUUAAAGGCUUGGGGAAUGUAUCUACCCUACGGGCGUAGACUUAUAGCCCCGAGCGUCAUGCGGCCUCCCGGGACCGAGGAACGCGCUCCGGCUCGGAUGUUGGCGUAAUGGUUGUCAGCGACCCGUCUUGAAACACGGACCAAGGAGUCUAACAUCUAUGCGAGUGUUUGGGUGUCAAACCCAGAACGCGGAAUGAAAGUGAACGGAGGUAGGAAGCUUUAGCUGCACUAUCGACCGAUCCUGAUGUCUUCGGAUGGAUUUGAGUAAGAGCAUAAAUGUUGGGACCCGAAAGAUGGUGAACUAUGCCUGAAUAGGGUGAAGCCAGAGGAAACUCUGGUGGAGGCUCGCAGCGGUUCUGACGUGCAAAUCGAUCGUCAAAUUUGGGUAUAGGGUAAGUUCCAUUACCUUUUCUUUUUGGUGAAUGUGUUAUACUAAUGUAAAUUUUGUAGGGCGAAAGACUAAUCGAACCAUCUGGUAGCUGGUUCCUGC
This 1543-nucleotide unclassified non-coding RNA is filed under the name uncultured Chaetothyriales. RNAcentral's name for it is "sequence contains 18S rRNA gene, ITS1, 5.8S rRNA gene, ITS2, 28S rRNA gene". The stretch from base 543 to 1543 matches the Rfam family "Eukaryotic large subunit ribosomal RNA", at positions 1 to 961 of the family's 3401-position model. The record is from RNAcentral. Lineage: Eukaryota; Fungi; Ascomycota; Eurotiomycetes; Chaetothyriales.